RNAcentral lists this unclassified non-coding RNA (240 nucleotides) under soil metagenome. RNAcentral's name for it is "partial contains 5.8S ribosomal RNA, internal transcribed spacer 2, and large subunit ribosomal RNA". The record is from RNAcentral.
AACUGAUACUACCUGCGGGAACCUGCGGAGGGAUCAUUAAUGAGAAGCUGCCCCUCGUGGGUAGACCUCCCACCCUCUGUGAACUUACCUUUGUUGCUUUGGCAGGCCCGUCCUCUGGACCGCCGGCUUCGGCUGGCCCGUGCCUGCCAGAGGAUUCCAAACCCUGUCUGUCAGUGUUGUCUGAGUCUAUAUGAAAUCGUUAAAACUUUUAACAAUGGAUCUCUAGAUCGGAAGAGCACA